RNAcentral lists this long non-coding RNA (1551 nucleotides) under Mytilus galloprovincialis (Mediterranean mussel). Lineage: Eukaryota; Metazoa; Mollusca; Bivalvia; Mytilida; Mytilidae. The record is from RNAcentral.
AAUCCUUGAGAACCAGAUAAUCACUUUGGGGUUUAAGAUACCUAGGCAGAAUUUUUCUGAUUGUGUUGGCGGUCAAACAGAAAAACCCUCUCUGCGGUACCCAAUUCCCUGAAGGGAUUAUCCAAUUCUCGAGGAUUGUCAAAAUUCAGCUUCUAUAAACAUUCAUAUGCACUCAACCAAAACAAAGCUCAGAAACCAAAAUUUCAUGUCUCUGAUAUUCUACUUGUAAACUAAAUAUGCCAAUACUUCUUGAAUUUUCUGAUUUUCAAAUAUAUUUACUACAGAUCAAAGCAUCAAAUUUCAGGUCCCCCUUCUGAUCAGACUUGGCUGAGUUCUUGUACAUCCUGCACAGCCUGGCCUGGUCAGGGUUUUACUGCCGGUCAGAUGACCAAGUGACCAUAUUUCUAUUCCCCAGUCACCCUUGGGGUAAAAUUGAUAACUUAAAAGUACCUGUAGGCUGGUCUUUAGUUUAAAUAAAUGAGUCACCCUUUUUUACCAAUUUGAACUACUUGAAAGUAACCAAUGAAAACAUUUAUUUAGUAUUUGACCAAAGAAGCUUUUCAAUUCAUUACCACUGAAUACAGUUCAAUUUCAUGGUUGCCUAUAGUAUUUAUGUGGACUUAAUGUGGCCUGAUGGCAAGUGUAAUUCUUUGAUGAAUAUUCUAGUCUGGCCGAUUGGUGAAAAAAUUGCUCAAAUAAUGAGGAAUUGAGCACCACAUUUUGCAUGAAGGUACAUUUUUGUGUACUGAGCAAUAUUAGCUAUGGAUCCAACCUCAAAAUUCAAUAUGGCGGCUUAUUUCAAGAUGGCUGUCAUACAUUUUAAAAUAUUUUCAAGUAUUACACAACCCACAGUGGAUUUGAUGCUGGAAACACAAAAUUCAACAUAUUUGAAUGAUUUGAUGUACUUAACAAGAUUUUGUUUUGAUUUAGCUAUCUUUCAAAUUCAAAAUGGCAGUUGGCAUUCAUUUUCUCCUAUGUGCUUACAUGUCACAUGUAGGUCUCAAGUCGCCACUUGGCAUCCAUUUAUCAAUAUUACUUAAGCUGUCAUUUUCCUCCAGGACAAAAGUAUAAAUUGUAACAAUUGCAGGCUGCCAGCUUCUCACUUUUGAUUUGGCUGUUGAAUACAAAGGACGUUUACUCUAUGAUAGGAAUAAGUUUUCAAUUUCACCCACCAUCCACCCCAAUCUACCACCUUCAAUAUUUCACUGAAUGUAGGAACAUUUCUCAGCAACCCAGUGGUGUUUUAUAAAUAAAUGACCAUUACGAAAUUCACCACUAGUAGUAUCCAGGAUUACAUAGAAUGUGUUAGGGGCGUCACUUGGCAUUCAUCGUCUCCUGUGUGCUUACAUGUCAUGUAGGUCUCAAAAGUUAUCACUUGGCAUCUGUCUAUCAAUAUUGCUUAAGCUGUCAUUUUCCUCAUUGACCAAAGUAUAAAGUGGGGAAAGGAUAGACAUGGGAUUCAAUGCAAAAUAUUGUUUGUCGCCAGCUUGGCAAACUUGAUGAUAUAUAUAUUCACCAAGCCAAAAAUUUAGUUGCAUUAGGCGACCUGGC